This 465-nucleotide ribosomal RNA is filed under the name uncultured bacterium. RNAcentral describes it as "partial 16S ribosomal RNA". It matches the Rfam family "Bacterial small subunit ribosomal RNA", at positions 339 to 795 of the family's 1533-position model. The record is from RNAcentral.
CUACGGGGUGCACCAGUGGGGAAUAUUGGACAAUGGGGGAAACCCUGAUCCAGCAAUGCCGCGUGUGUGAAGAAGGCCUGCGGGUUGUAAAGCACUUUCGGUUGGGAGGACUGCUUCUAGCACUAAUAUUGUUGGAAGUUGACGUUACCUUCAGAAGAAGCACCGGCUAACUCCGUGCCAGCAGCCGCGGUAAUACGGGGGGUGCAAGCGUUAAUCGGAAUUACUGGGCGUAAAGCGCGCGUAGGCGGCUAGAUCAGUCGGGUGUGAAAGCCCCGGGCUUAACCUGGGAACGGCAUCCGAUACUGUCUAGCCUGAGUACAGGAGAGGAGAGUGGAAUUCCACAUGUAGCGGUGAAAUGCGUAGAUAUGUGGAGGAACACCAAUGGCGAAGGCAGCUCUCUGGCCUGAUACUGACGCUGAGGUGCGAAAGCGUGGGGAGCAAACAGGAUUAGAUACCCCUGUAGUC